UAAAACAAGUUCUAUCUCGAAACCCUAAGUGCAGUAGGGUUUAUAUAGAUCCUGUAUGCUGCGCAAUGCCACAUCAUUCGACCAAUCAAAAAAUUCCAAUAAAUUCUGAAAAAAUUUUGAUUGAUGGAGUGAUAUCAUCUGAUCACAUCAGAUAAGAAUCCCCAUGCUCUCUCCUAUGUUGGCACCAACAUUGGAUAAGCAC
RNAcentral lists this long non-coding RNA (202 nucleotides) under Elaeis guineensis (African oil palm). RNAcentral's name for it is "long non-coding RNA (EGUI_LNC064104)". The record is from RNAcentral. Lineage: Eukaryota; Viridiplantae; Streptophyta; Magnoliopsida; Arecales; Arecaceae.